Molecule: ribosomal RNA, 253 nt
Filed under: uncultured bacterium
Lineage: Bacteria
Description: partial 16S ribosomal RNA
Rfam family: Bacterial small subunit ribosomal RNA
Source: RNAcentral
GACAGAGGUACCGAGCGUUAGGCGGAAUCACUGGGCUUAAAGCGUGUGUAGGCGGACUUCUAAGUACCUUGUGAAAUCCCACGGCUUAACCGUGGAACUGCUUGGUAUACUGGCGGUCUUGGGCCAUUCAGGGGCGACUGGAACAAGCGGUGGAGCGGUGAAAUGCGUAGAUAUCGCUUGGAACGCCGAAGGUGAAAACAGGUCGCUGGGGAUGUGCCGACGCUGAGACACGAAAGCCAGGGGAGCAAACGGG